UCCGGCUUACCACCGGCAGUCCCAUUAGAGUGCCCAACUUAAUGAUGGCAACUAAUGGCGAGGGUUGCGCUCGUUGCGGGACUUAACCCAACAUCUCACGACACGAGCUGACGACAGCCAUGCAGCACCUGUGUGUAGGUCCCGUAAGGGAAGGAAUCCAUCUCUGGAAACCGUCCUACCAUGUCAAACGCUGGUAAGGUUCUGCGCGUUGCCUCGAAUUAAACCACAUGCUCCACCGCUUGUGCAGGCCCCCGUCAAUUUCUUUGAGUUUUAACCUUGCGGCCGUACUCCCCAGGCGGAUGACUUAACGCGUUAGCGCCGGCACUCAGGGGGUCGCUCCCCCAAGCACCUAGUGCCCAUCGUUUACGGCGUGGACUAC
This 379-nucleotide unclassified non-coding RNA is filed under the name uncultured Sphingomonadaceae bacterium. Its description in RNAcentral is "contains 16S-23S intergenic spacer region". The record is from RNAcentral. Lineage: Bacteria; Pseudomonadati; Pseudomonadota; Alphaproteobacteria; Sphingomonadales; Sphingomonadaceae.